RNAcentral lists this ribosomal RNA (1207 nucleotides) under metagenome. RNAcentral describes it as "bacterial SSU rRNA". It matches the Rfam family "Bacterial small subunit ribosomal RNA", at positions 172 to 1353 of the family's 1533-position model. The record is from RNAcentral.
GAUACGUUGAUUGUUUUUAAGGGCAAUCAAGAAAGGCGGCCUCUAUUUAUAAGCUGUCGCGCAUGGAGGGGUCUGCGUACCAUUAGUUUGUUGGUGGGGUAAUGGCCUACCAAGACUACGAUGGUUAGCGGGUCUGAGAGGAUGAUCCGCCACACUGGCACUGGAACACGGGCCAGACUCCUACGGGAGGCAGCAGUGAGGAAUAUUGCGCAAUGGGGGGAACCCUGACGCAGCGACGCCGCGUGGGUGAGGAAGGCUUUCGGGUCGUAAAACCCUGUCAGGAGGGAAGAAGUGCUUGCAGGCUAAUACCUUGUAAGUUUGACGGUACCUUCAAAGGAAGCACCGGCUAACUCCGUGCCAGCAGCCGCGGUAAUACGGAGGGUGCAAGCGUUGUUCGGAAUCACUGGGCGUAAAGGGCGCGUAGGCGGCUUGGCAAGUCAGAUGUGAAAGCCCACGGCUUAACCGUGGAAGUGCAUUUGAAACUGCUUGGCUUGAGUAUCAGAGGGGAAAGUGGAAUUCCCGGUGUAGAGGUGAAAUUCGUAGAUAUCGGGAGGAAUACCGGUGGCGAAGGCGACUUUCUGGCUGAAUACUGACGCUGAGGCGCGAAAGCGUGGGGAGCAAACAGGAUUAGAUACCCUGGUAGUCCACGCCGUAAACGAUGUCAACUAGGUGCAGGGGGUGUUGAUCCCCUCUGUGUCGCAGCUAACGCAUUAAGUUGACCGCCUGGGGAGUACGGUCGCAAGAUUAAAACUCAAAGGAAUUGACGGGGGCCCGCACAAGCGGUGGAGUAUGUGGUUUAAUUCGAUGCAACGCGAAGAACCUUACCUGGUCUUGACAUCCCGAAGAUCUCCUGGAAACAGGAGAGUGCUCUCUUUGAGAGAAUUUGGUGACAGGUGCUGCGUGGCUGUCGUCAGCUCGUGUCGUGAGAUGUUGGGUUAAGUCCCGCAACGAGCGCAACCCUCGCCAUUAGUUGCCAGCAUUAAGUUGGGCACUCUAAUGGGACUGCCGGUGUCAAACCGGAGGAAGGCGGGGAUGACGUCAAGUCCUCAUGGCCUUUAUGACCAGGGCUACACACGUACUACAAUGGCCGGUACAACGGGCUGCCACUUCGCGAGAAGGCGCAAAUCCCUAAAAGCCGGUCUCAGUCCGGAUUGGAGUCUGCAACUCGACUCCAUGAAGUUGGAAUCGCUAGUAAUCGUGGAUCAGC